RNAcentral lists this ribosomal RNA (377 nucleotides) under uncultured bacterium. RNAcentral's name for it is "bacterial SSU rRNA". It matches the Rfam family "Bacterial small subunit ribosomal RNA", at positions 523 to 898 of the family's 1533-position model. The record is from RNAcentral.
AUACGUAGGUGGCAAGCGUUGUCCGGAAUUACUGGGUGUAAAGGGUGCGUAGACGGGAUGUAAAGUCAGAUGUGAAAUACCGGGGCUCAACUCCGGGGCUGCAUUUGAAACUUACAAUCUUGAGUGCAGGAGAGGAAAGCGGAAUUCCUAGUGUAGCGGUGAAAUGCGUAGAUAUUAGGAGGAACACCAGUGGCGAAGGCGGCUUUCUGGACUGUAACUGACGUUGAGGCACGAAAGCGUGGGGAGCAAACAGGAUUAGAUACCCUGGUAGUCCACGCUGUAAACGAUGGAUACUAGGUGUGGGAGGUAUCGACCCCUUCCGUGCCGGAGUUAACACAAUAAGUAUCCCACCUGGGGAGUACGGCCGCAAGGUUGAA